UGUAGUCUCGCACAGAUGCAUAUCAAUAAGCGGAGGAAAAGAAACUAACAAGGAUUCCCCUAGUAACGGCGAGUGAAGCGGGGAAGAGCUCAAAUUUGAAAUCUUAAAGGGUUUCCCUUUACGAAUUGUAGUUUAAAGAAGUGUUUUCUGUUGAGGUUUUGGUAAAAGUUCUUUGGAAUAGGACAUCAUAGAGGGUGAGAAUCCCGUAUUUGACCUUUACUUUCAACUUUGUGAUACACUUUCAAAGAGUCGGAUUGUUUGGGAAUGCAGUCCAAAAUGGGUGGUAAAUUUCAUCUAAAGCUAAAUAUUGGCGAGAGACCGAUAGCGAACAAGUACCGUGAGGGAAAGAUGAAAAGAACUUUGAAAAGAGAGUUAAACAGUACGUGAAAUUGUCAAAAGGGAAGCGUUUGACACCAGUGUUGUUUUUCUGAAAAUCAAUUAAAGAACUGUUUAUGCUAAGCUGUUUAGACUUUAUCAGCUAACUGUUUAGUUUUGAGCUUUUCUUUAAUGCACUUUUCAGUUAACAAGUCAACAUCAAUUUCUUUUGCUGUAAAAAAGCUUGAGGAAGGUGGCUUGAGAUUCGUCUUAAGUGUUUAUAGCCUCUUGCCUAUGCAGUCGGAGAGAUUGAGGUCUGCAGCGUAGAUCCUUCGGGGCUAAAUGCAUUUGUGCUAAGUUAUAGCAUUUUAUAGACAACUUGUUGACUAUGAUUUGUCUUGUAGCUUCACUCGCUUAUGUUAUUUUACCUACGCUUAGGAUGUUGAGCGCAUGUCUCUCUCU
This 777-nucleotide ribosomal RNA is filed under the name uncultured Neocallimastigales. RNAcentral describes it as "partial large subunit ribosomal RNA". It matches the Rfam family "Eukaryotic large subunit ribosomal RNA", at positions 24 to 616 of the family's 3401-position model. The record is from RNAcentral. Lineage: Eukaryota; Fungi; Neocallimastigomycota; Neocallimastigomycetes; Neocallimastigales.